AUCUGCCACAUAGAUUUUGUUUCUAUAUUUUAGUUUAAAAAAUCCAUUAAAAACAGUUAGUAUCCAAAUAGUAUUACGUAAGAAAAAAAAAAAAAAAAUUCGCACCCAAAAAAAAAAGCAAAAAAAAAUACAUUCUAAAACUGCAAAAAUCCUUGAUCCCUAAAUUUGCUUAAACUACCCACCAACCACGUUCAAAAUGAAAUAUAUAUUUUUUUGGUUUAAUGUUAAAAUUUCAAAAUGAAAUAUGUGACGACUUUUUUUUUUUUUUUGGGAUUUUAAUGUGAAGAAUGUCACGAUUUCAAACCGUUUGAUCUAUUAUUUAACCCCCAAUCAACUCAACUUCUUAUUUAUUUUCUCUAUUUUCCAUCGUUUUAUUUUUUGAGAAUUUUCAUAUUCAUCCUUUUCGAUUUCUCAUCUCUAUUGCCAGUUUGUCUUCUUCUUUGUCGUUUCAUUUCCGUUUGUUGUAUUCACAUAAUUUAGCAAAGACUCUGAUCCAGGUUUAUGACUACUCUGUAUUCAAUUUCAUUUUAUAUUUAUCACAUAUUAAAUUUUCUCUGAUUUUACAUGAUUCAAGUUGAAGACCAUUGCACUACUGGAUUAUACUCCUACUUCCCAACUAAAUUCUUCAAAACAAAAUGGAAAAAUAAGAGCUCAAGCCCAAAGAUAAAAGUCCCUGCAUGCAACUUAGUUCGUGAAGGAAAAGUUCAAAGAUAUAGAGAUGUCAAAUACCAUUGCGGCAUUGGCCCAAUACCCAUCUAAAUCUAGAAAUACUCACAUGGCUGUUAUCUACUGAUGCAGGAUGCAUCAGGAGAACGUGAUAAUUUGUUCCACAUAAAGGAGAUACAAAAAUGAAAAGUCAUGAUAGUAGGUGAACUUGAUGAAGGAAACGAGUAAUUCUUCCAAUCUCAAUCUUUCGUAGAAGAUUUGAAUAACUGAAAGAUAUAUGUUUAUAAUGUGGUGACUACGGGCUACAGCAAUUACGACAAAGGAGAGACAAAUAAUUCAAAAACGUAUUUCAAACGUUCAUAACAAAGACGGCAUACUGAAAGAUGAUCUGACAACAACAAAAGAAUUUGAAGAAAUUGAUCCAUUUGUAUAUAUGGCUGCAUGUACGUAGUUACUUUGUGUAAAUAUUUUAUGUUUAAUUUUUUACAUCUUAA
Long non-coding RNA from Arabidopsis lyrata subsp. lyrata, 1160 nucleotides. RefSeq lists it as uncharacterized. The transcript has 4 exons. NCBI's taxonomy places the organism in Eukaryota, Viridiplantae, Streptophyta, Magnoliopsida, Brassicales, Brassicaceae. The record is from RefSeq and is a predicted model, not a curated record.